UUAAGCGACUAAGCGUACACGGUGGAUGCCCUGGCAGUCAGAGGCGAUGAAGGACGUGCUAAUCUGCGAAAAGCGUCGGUAAGGUGAUAUGAACCGUUACAGCCGGCGAUGUCCGAAUGGGGAAACCCAGUGCAAUUCGUUGCACUAUCGUUAACUGAAUACAUAGGUUAACGAGGCGAACCGGGGGAACUGAAACAUCUAAGUACCCCGAGGAAAAGAAAUCAACCGAGAUUCCCCCAGUAGCGGCGAGCGAACGGGGAGCAGCCCAGAGUCUGAAUCAGCUUGUGUGUUAGUGGAACGGUCUGGAAAGUCCGACGGUACAGGGUGAUAGUCCCGUACACCAAAAUGCACAGGUUGUGAACUCGAAGAGUAGGGCGGGACACGUGGUAUCCUGUCUGAAUAUGGGGGGACCAUCCUCCAAGGCUAAAUACUCCUGACUGACCGAUAGUGAACCAGUACCGUGAGGGAAAGGCGAAAAGAACCCCGGCGAGGGGAGUGAAAAAGAACCUGAAACCGUGUACGUACAAGCAGUGGGAGCACCCUUUAGGGUGUGACUGCGUACCUUUUGUAUAAUGGGUCAGCGACUUAUAUUCUGUAGCAAGGUUAACCGUAUAGGGGAGCCGCAGGGAAACCGAGUCUUAACUGGGCGUUAAGUUGCAGGGUAUAGACCCGAAACCCGGUGAUCUAGCCAUGGGCAGGUUGAAGGUUGGGUAACACUAACUGGAGGACCGAACCGACUAAUGUUGAAAAAUUAGCGGAUGACUUGUGGCUGGGGGUGAAAGGCCAAUCAAACCGGGAGAUAGCUGGUUCUCCCCGAAAGCUAUUUAGGUAGCGCCUCGUGAACUCAUCUUCGGGGGUAGAGCACUGUUUCGGCUAGGGGGUCAUCCCGACUUACCAACCCGAUGCAAACUACGAAUACCGAAGAAUGUUAUCACGGGAGACACACGGCGGGUGCUAACGUCCGUCGUGAAGAGGGAAACAACCCAGACCGCCAGCUAAGGUCCCAAAGUCACAGUUAAGUGGGAAACGAUGUGGGAAGGCACAGACAGCCAGGAUGUUGGCUUAGAAGCAGCCAUCAUUUAAAGAAAGCGUAAUAGCUCACUGGUCGAGUCGGCCUGCGCGGAAGAUGUAACGGGGCUAAACUGUGCACCGAAGCUGCGGCAGCGACACUAUGUGUUGUUGGGUAGGGGAGCGUUCUGUAAGCCUGCGAAGGUGGCCUGUGAGGGUUGCUGGAGGUAUCAGAAGUGCGAAUGCUGACAUAAGUAACGAUAAUGCGGGUGAAAAGCCCGCACGCCGGAAGACCAAGGGUUCCUGUCCAACGUUAAUCGGGGCAGGGUGAGUCGACCCCUAAGGCGAGGCCGAAAGGCGUAGUCGAUGGGAAACAGGUUAAUAUUCCUGUACUUGGUGUUACUGCGAAGGGGGGACGGAGAAGGCUAUGUUAGCCGGGCGACGGUUGUCCCGGUUUAAGCAUGUAGGCGGAGGUUCCAGGUAAAUCCGGUACCUUUUAACGCUGAGGUGUGAUGACGAGGCACUACGGUGCUGAAGUAACAAAUGCCCUGCUUCCAGGAAAAGCCUCUAAGCAUCAGGUAACAUUAAAUCGUACCCCAAACCGACACAGGUGGUCAGGUAGAGAAUACCAAGGCGCUUGAGAGAACUCGGGUGAAGGAACUAGGCAAAAUGGUGCCGUAACUUCGGGAGAAGGCACGCUGAUAUGUAGGUGAAGCCCCUGCGGGUGGAGCUGAAAUCAGUCGAAGAUACCAGCUGGCUGCAACUGUUUAUUAAAAACACAGCACUGUGCAAACACGAAAGUGGACGUAUACGGUGUGACGCCUGCCCGGUGCCGGAAGGUUAAUUGAUGGGGUUAUCCGUAAGGAGAAGCUCUUGAUCGAAGCCCCGGUAAACGGCGGCCGUAACUAUAACGGUCCUAAGGUAGCGAAAUUCCUUGUCGGGUAAGUUCCGACCUGCACGAAUGGCGUAAUGAUGGCCAGGCUGUCUCCACCCGAGACUCAGUGAAAUUGAACUCGCUGUGAAGAUGCAGUGUACCCGCGGCAAGACGGAAAGACCCCGUGAACCUUUACUAUAGCUUGACACUGAACAUUGAGCCUUGAUGUGUAGGAUAGGUGGGAGGCUUUGAAGCGUGGACGCCAGUCUGCGUGGAGCCAACCUUGAAAUACCACCCUUUAAUGUUUGAUGUUCUAACGUUGGCCCCUUAUCGGGGUUGCGGACAGUGUCUGGUGGGUAGUUUGACUGGGGCGGUCUCCUCCCAAAGAGUAACGGAGGAGCACGAAGGUUAGCUAAUCCUGGUCGGACAUCAGGAGGUUAGUGCAAUGGCAUAAGCUAGCUUGACUGCGAGCGUGACGGCGCGAGCAGGUGCGAAAGCAGGUCAUAGUGAUCCGGUGGUUCUGAAUGGAAGGGCCAUCGCUCAACGGAUAAAAGGUACUCCGGGGAUAACAGGCUGAUACCGCCCAAGAGUUCAUAUCGACGGCGGUGUUUGGCACCUCGAUGUCGGCUCAUCACAUCCUGGGGCUGAAGUAGGUCCCAAGGGUAUGGCUGUUCGCCAUUUAAAGUGGUACGCGAGCUGGGUUUAGAACGUCGUGAGACAGUUCGGUCCCUAUCUGCCGUGGGCGCUGGAGAAUUGAGGGGGGCUGCUCCUAGUACGAGAGGACCGGAGUGGACGUAUCACUGGUGUGCGGGUUGUCAUGCCAAUGGCAUUGCCCGGUAGCUAAAUGCGGAAGAGAUAAGUGCUGAAAGCAUCUAAGCACGAAACUUGCCCCGAGAUGAGUUCUCCCUGAGACUUUAAGUCUCCUGAAGGAACGUUAAAGACGAUGACGUUGAUAGGUCGGGUGUGUAAGCGUAGCGAUACGUUGAGCUAACCGAUACUAAUGAACCGUGAGGCUUAACCUU
RNAcentral lists this ribosomal RNA (2904 nucleotides) under Klebsiella aerogenes. RNAcentral describes it as "bacterial LSU rRNA". It matches the Rfam family "Bacterial large subunit ribosomal RNA". Lineage: Bacteria; Pseudomonadati; Pseudomonadota; Gammaproteobacteria; Enterobacterales; Enterobacteriaceae. The record is from RNAcentral.